Molecule: ribosomal RNA, 230 nt
Filed under: uncultured Alicycliphilus sp.
Lineage: Bacteria; Pseudomonadati; Pseudomonadota; Betaproteobacteria; Burkholderiales; Comamonadaceae
Description: partial 16S ribosomal RNA
Rfam family: Bacterial small subunit ribosomal RNA
Source: RNAcentral
AGAGAUGCACUGGGUGUAAAGCGUGCGCAGGCGGUUUUGUAAGACAGAGGUGGAAUCCCCGGGCUCAACCUGGGAACUGCCUUUGUGACUGCAAGGCUGGAGUGCGGCAGAGGGGGAUGGAAUUCCGCGUGUAGCAGUGAAAUGCGUAGAUAUGCGGAGGAACACCGAUGGCGAAGGCAAUCCCCUGGGCCUGCACUGACGCUCAUGCACGAAAGCGUGGGGAGCAAACA